This 496-nucleotide ribosomal RNA is filed under the name uncultured bacterium. RNAcentral's name for it is "partial 16S ribosomal RNA". It matches the Rfam family "Bacterial small subunit ribosomal RNA", at positions 29 to 507 of the family's 1533-position model. The record is from RNAcentral.
AUGAACGCUGGCGGCGUGCCUAAUACAUGCAAGUCGAGCGAACAGACGAGGAGCUUGCUCCUCUGACGUUAGCGGCGGACGGGUGAGUAACACGUGGAUAACCUACCUAUAAGACUGGGAUAACUUCGGGAAACCGGAGCUAAUACCGGAUAAUAUAUUGAACCGCAUGGUUCAAUAGUGAAAGACGGUUUUGCUGUCACUUAUAGGUGGAUCCGCGCCGCAUUAGCUAGUUGGUAAGGUAACGGCUUACCAAGGCAACGAUGCGUAGCCGACCUGAGAGGGUGAUCGGCCACACUGGAACUGAGACACGGUCCAGACUCCUACGGGAGGCAGCAGUAGGGAAUCUUCCGCAAUGGGCGAAAGCCUGACGGAGCAACGCCGCGUGAGUGAUGAAGGUCUUCGGAUCGUAAAACUCUGUUAUUAGGGAAGAACAAAUGUGUAAGUAACUAUGCACGUCUUGACGGUACCUAAUCAGAAAGCCACGGCUAACUACGUG